GAUGAACGCUGGCGGCGUGCUUAACACAUGCAAGUCGAACGAUUAAGGCGGCUUCGGCCGCGUAUAGAGUGGCGAACGGGUGAGUAACACGUGACCAACCUGCCCCGCGCUCCGGGACAACCGCUGGAAACGGCGGCUAAUACCGGAUGCUCCGGGGAGGCCCCAUGGCCUCCCCGGGAAAGCCCCGACGGCGCGGGAUGGGGUCGCGGCCCAUUAGGUAGACGGCGGGGUAACGGCCCACCGUGCCCGCGAUGGGUAGCCGGACUGAGAGGUCGACCGGCCACAUUGGGACUGAGAUACGGCCCAGACUCCUACGGGAGGCAACAGUGGGGAAUUUUGCGCAAUGGGGGAAACCCUGACGCAGCAACGCCGCGUGCGGGACGAAGGCCUUCGGGUUGUAAACCGCUUUCAGCAGGGAAGACAUAGACGGUAC
Molecule: ribosomal RNA, 433 nt
Filed under: uncultured bacterium
Lineage: Bacteria
Description: bacterial SSU rRNA
Rfam family: Bacterial small subunit ribosomal RNA
Source: RNAcentral